GAAUAACUGAAUAAUACUUAAUUAAUAAAGUUGCAUUAUUUAUGCAAAGCAAUGAAUCCAGAGAUUUAUACGCAUGCGCUAUCGCGCUCAAUAAUAUAUAACUUUAUGUAAUGAAAUCAGUGCGAAUGAAUAAAAACAAGCCAGCUUGAAUCUUCGCGUAUUUCUGAACCUUUGCAGUACACUACAAAACUUGAAGCAUAAUUACUCAUUGGGUCUGCUUUGGAAAUUGAUUAAACUAAACAAUUGAGACACACAUAAUAUGCUAACAACGACUGCUAUUGCUACAAGUACUAGCAAAAGUCACCGCCUGCAACAAAUCCCAUUUACCAAACAAAACAAAUUAUAUACAACGGAUUCAUUUAGCGUUAAUAGUGUCGACAUGAGCACUUCUAUUGGUACAACGAUGUUAACUACGA
Drosophila arizonae is the source of this 416-nucleotide long non-coding RNA. NCBI's taxonomy places the organism in Eukaryota, Metazoa, Arthropoda, Insecta, Diptera, Drosophilidae. The record is from RefSeq and is a predicted model, not a curated record.